CGGCGGACGGGUGAGUAACACGUGGAUAACCUACCUAUAAGACUGGGAUAACUUCGGGAAACCGGAGCUAAUACCGGAUAAUAUUUUGAACCGCAUGGUUCAAAAGUAAAAGACGGUCUUGCUGUCACUUAUAGAUGGAUCCGCGCUGCAUUAGCUAGUUGGUAAGGUAACGGCUUACCAAGGCAACGAUGCAUAGCCGACCUGAGAGGGUUAUCGGCCACACUGGAACUGAGACACGGUCCAG
RNAcentral lists this ribosomal RNA (244 nucleotides) under uncultured Staphylococcus sp. Its description in RNAcentral is "partial 16S ribosomal RNA". It matches the Rfam family "Bacterial small subunit ribosomal RNA", at positions 96 to 334 of the family's 1533-position model. The record is from RNAcentral. Lineage: Bacteria; Bacillati; Bacillota; Bacilli; Caryophanales; Staphylococcaceae.